GGGUUGUGAGGUUAAGCGACUAAGCGUACACGGUGGAUGCCCUGGCAGUCAGAGGCGAUGAAGGACGUGCUAAUCUGCGAUAAGCGCCGGUAAGGUGAUAUGAACCGUUAUAACCGGCGAUUUCCGAAUGGGGAAACCCAGUGUGACUCGUCACACUAUCAUUAACUGAAUCCAUAGGUUAAUGAGGCGAACCGGGGGAACUGAAACAUCUAAGUACCCCGAGGAAAAGAAAUCAACCGAGAUUCCCCCAGUAGCGGCGAGCGAACGGGGAGGAGCCCAGAGCCUGAAUCAGCAUGUGUGUUAGUGGAAGCGUCUGGAAAGGCGCGCGAUACAGGGUGACAGCCCCGUACACAAAAGCGCAUGUGCUGUGAGCUCGAUGAGUAGGGCGGGACACGUGGUAUCCUGUCUGAAUAUGGGGGGACCAUCCUCCAAGGCUAAAUACUCCUGACUGACCGAUAGUGAACCAGUACCGUGAGGGAAAGGCGAAAAGAACCCCGGCGAGGGGAGUGAAAAAGAACCUGAAACCGUGUACGUACAAGCAGUGGGAGCACAGGU
This 555-nucleotide ribosomal RNA is filed under the name Salmonella enterica subsp. enterica serovar Hvittingfoss. Its description in RNAcentral is "partial 23S ribosomal RNA". It matches the Rfam family "Bacterial large subunit ribosomal RNA", at positions 1 to 586 of the family's 2925-position model. The record is from RNAcentral. Lineage: Bacteria; Pseudomonadati; Pseudomonadota; Gammaproteobacteria; Enterobacterales; Enterobacteriaceae.